GAUGAACGCUGGCGGCGUGCCUAAUACAUGCAAGUCGAGCGAACGGACGAGAAGCUUGCUUUUCUGAUGUUAGCGGCGGACGUGUGAGUAACACGUGGAUAACCUACCUAUAAGACUGGGAUAACUUCGGGAAACCGGAGCUAAUACCGGAUAAUAUUUUGAACCGCAUGGUUCAAAAGUGAAAGACGGUUUUGCUGUCACUUAUAGAUGGAUCCGCGCUGCAUUAGCUAGUUGGUAAGGUAACGGCUUACCAAGGCAACGAUGCAUAGCCGACCUGAGAGGGUGAUCGGCCACACUGGAGCUGAGACACGGUCCAGACUCCUACGGGAGGCAGCAGUAGGGAAUCUUCCGCAAUGGGCGAAAGCCUGACGGAGCAACGCCGCGUGAGUGAUGAAGGUCUUCGGAUCGUAAAACUCUGUUAUUAGGGAAGAACAUAUGUGUAAGUAACUGUGCACAUCUUGACGGUACCUAAUCAGAAAGCCACGGCUAACUACGUG
This 497-nucleotide ribosomal RNA is filed under the name uncultured bacterium. RNAcentral describes it as "partial 16S ribosomal RNA". It matches the Rfam family "Bacterial small subunit ribosomal RNA", at positions 28 to 507 of the family's 1533-position model. The record is from RNAcentral.